This is a non-coding RNA of Pangasius djambal, 72 nucleotides long. The record is from the annotation of a GenBank genome assembly. NCBI's taxonomy places the organism in Eukaryota, Metazoa, Chordata, Actinopteri, Siluriformes, Pangasiidae.
UCCCUGGUGUACUAGUGGCUAGCAUGCAGCGCUCUCACUGCCGUGGCCUGGGUUCGAUUCACAGUCAGUAAA